This 1942-nucleotide long non-coding RNA is filed under the name Macaca fascicularis (crab-eating macaque). RNAcentral's name for it is "lncRNA (ENSMFAG00000049399.1)". Lineage: Eukaryota; Metazoa; Chordata; Mammalia; Primates; Cercopithecidae. The record is from RNAcentral.
GGGGCCUCUGAUGGUGUUUGUCUAAAGACCACAUUUGGAAUAGUGAGUGCCUGGGUUAGAAAUUGGCAGAUUACCACUCAUAGGCCACAUCCGGUCCACUACCCAUAUUUGUAAAUGAAGUUUUAUCGGAACAUAGCUAUGCUUAUUUAUUGACAUUUUGUCUGUGGCUGCUGUUGUGCAACAAAAGCAGAGUGGAGUAGUUGUGACAGAGACCAUAGGGCCCACAUUGCUGGCCUUUGAAGAGAAAGUGUGCUAGUCGCUUUUCUAAUCAUCUUUUGGAUCCCUACAAGUUAUAAAACUUUGGUAAGUAUUAGAUGCUAAUAAAAAUAGUAAUGAUUGCAGUUAAGAUUUGAGGAUUUGAGUGCUUUCUGGGUACUUAGCUCUUUAUGUUUAUUUUUUUCUUAGCUCAAUUCUAUCAUAGGCAAUACUACUGUCUCCACUUUACAGGCAAGAAAACGGAAUAGAGAGGCUGGGCCAUUGGCCCAGAGUUUGUGGACCAGUGAGUAGGUGAGGCCAAUUUGAGUCAAGUCGCCUGAUUCUUACUGGACAGGAGCUUCUGCCUAGAACUUUUUCCCAGAGCACAGAGAGGGUUUUGUUUAGAUUUUCUUCUGUCCCAGAGUGUUCUGAUGCCUUCAUUUCUUUCUCAAUUGAUCCUUCUGUUUACUCAACAAAUACCUGUGCAGCCUGUGCUGGAAGUUUGGGGACCAUGCUGGGUUCUGAGAGGGUGUGGGGACUAGGAUGGGGUCCCAGCCCUGCACAUUCAGUGGAGUCAUCAGGGACGCAGCACCAGAAGCCACGCAGGAUGCUAAGCACCUUGGGGGUUACUGGUACAGGUACUGGAGGCAGUCAGGGAAGGCUUCUUGGAGGAAGGGGUGCACAUGAUGCCAGCAGGAGUUAGCUUUGUAGAGGAGGUCAGGAAAGGUUUUCUGAGGAGAGAGAAUCACAAGUGCAAAAGUUUGGAGGUGUGAGACCCUGUGGCCUGGUUUGGUAGAGUUCAGGGCACAGAGACUGUAGUGUGUUUGUGUGUGUGUUGGGGGUUGGGGGAAUUGGUGGUGGUAUAAUAAAAUUGGAGGUCGGCAGGAGUUAAGUCAACAGAGCCUCAUUGCUAUGCCAAAGGACUUGCAUUUUGCCCUGGAGGCUACCGUUGCCUAGUAUGAAGCCCUCUGAUGACUUUCCGGAGAAAGCCUCCAUUAGGUGCUAACGUGUCUUCAGUGCUUCUCCCCAGACUCCUUAGACUCCUUUGUUUAACAAAGAUCGGACACAGCCGCCUUCUUCGGGGAUCCUUCCUUAGGCUGGCGGCCGACUCCAGCCAGGAGGCAUAAAAAAGCAUUGCUUCCUUUGAUUUUAUUUUUGCAGUAACUUUUUAAUUAGGGCAUGUUUUAAAUUUAAUCCAGCGGAUUAUAGUUUCCCUUGAAAAUAUGUUUUAAAAAUAUUGAAUCCAUUGAACAAAAAUGAGUAAGAUUAAAGGGGGUUCUGGAUGUAAUUAACAUUGGGAAGGUAGUCUUCAGCCUCUUGGAAUUUGGAGAGCCCUACAACAGGUGAGGGGGUUGGUGGGGGCUGGGCCAGUAGUGACCUCUCUCUUAACAUUCCCCUUCUUCCCUGGAACCCCAGGGGUCUUGACUGAAGGGCAGGAUGGCUGUGUAGCUAAGAUGUGGCUGCGGGGAUGUAGGUGUCCAUUGAUGGUAUGGGAGCUGAGGUUCCUGCUCCAGGCUGCUUCUGCUCCUCAUCUCUCUCCUUCUCUGUCUGGUGUUCUUCUCCUUCUUUCUCUCUUUCUCCCUCCCUUCUUUCCUUCCUUCCUUCCUUCCUUCCUUCCUUCCUUCCUUCCUUCCUUCCUUCUUUCCUUCUUUCCUUCUUUCCUUCUUUCCAUCUGUCUUGAGCCAAGAUCAUGCCAUUUUACUCUAGCCUGGGUGACAGAGUGAGACCUUGUCUCAAAAAAAAAAAA